UCAACCUGGUUGAUCCUGCCAGUAGUCAUACCUUUGCAUCAAAGAUUUACACAUGCAUGUGUCAGAUUAAAAGAAUUAAUCUUGAAUCUGCGAAUGGCUCAUUAUAUCAGUUAUAGUUUACACGGUAAUCAAAAGCUACACGGAUAACUGUGGCAAUUCUAGAGCUAAUACGUGCGUCAAGGCAUUUCCCAUUU
Molecule: ribosomal RNA, 194 nt
Filed under: uncultured eukaryote
Lineage: Eukaryota
Description: partial 18S ribosomal RNA
Rfam family: Eukaryotic small subunit ribosomal RNA
Source: RNAcentral